Molecule: ribosomal RNA, 490 nt
Filed under: uncultured bacterium
Lineage: Bacteria
Description: partial 16S ribosomal RNA
Rfam family: Bacterial small subunit ribosomal RNA
Source: RNAcentral
AUUGAACGCUGGCGGCAGGCCUAACACAUGCAAGUCGAACGGUAACAGGAAGAAGCUUGCUUCUUUGCUGACGAGUGGCGGACGGGUGAGUAAUGUCUGGGAAACUGCCUGAUGGAGGGGGAUAACUACUGGAAACGGUAGCUAAUACCGCAUAACGUCGCAAGACCAAAGAGGGGGACCUUCGGGCCUCUUGCCAUCGGCUGUGCCCAGAUGGGAUUAGCUAGUAGGUGGGGUAACGGCUCACCUAGGCGACGAUCCCUAGCUGGUCUGAGAGGAUGACCAGCCACACUGGAACUGAGACACGGUCCAGACUCCUACGGGAGGCAGCAGUGGGGAAUAUUGGACAAUGGGCGCAAGCCUGAUGCAGCCAUGCCGCGUGUAUGAAGAAGGCCUUCGGGUUGUAAAGUACUUUCAGCGGGGAGGAAGGGAAUAAAGUUAAUACCUUUGCUCAUUGACGUUACCCACAGAAGAAGCACCGGCUAACUCCGUG